This is a non-coding RNA of Pan troglodytes (chimpanzee), 148 nucleotides long. It matches the Rfam family "Metazoan signal recognition particle RNA". From Rfam's summary of the family: The signal recognition particle (SRP) is a universally conserved ribonucleoprotein. Lineage: Eukaryota; Metazoa; Chordata; Mammalia; Primates; Hominidae. The record is from Rfam.
GCUGGGUGUGGUGGUGCACACCUGUAAUCCCAGCUACUCAGGAGGCUGAGGCAGGAGAAUCGCUUGAACACAGGAGGCAGAGGUUGCAGUGAGCUGAGAUUGUGCCACUGCACUCCAGCCUGGGUGACAGAGCAACACUCUGUCUCAA